Long non-coding RNA from Mercenaria mercenaria, 178 nucleotides. RefSeq lists it as uncharacterized. Lineage: Eukaryota; Metazoa; Mollusca; Bivalvia; Venerida; Veneridae. The transcript has 3 exons. The record is from RefSeq and is a predicted model, not a curated record.
CAGGGAAUGGCGAUAUUCAUAUUUCACUGUGCACUUAACACACAGAUAAGGAAUGCAUUCAAUAGAAAACAGAAGUAUUCUCAGUCAGCUUCUACCACAAGAUCGACAUCAAACCCACUUCUCAUUCCCAGGGCAAAACCUAACUUAUCUUCAACUGAUUUGUAUCUCAGCACUAGCU